This 256-nucleotide ribosomal RNA is filed under the name uncultured bacterium. RNAcentral describes it as "partial small subunit ribosomal RNA". It matches the Rfam family "Bacterial small subunit ribosomal RNA", at positions 26 to 285 of the family's 1533-position model. The record is from RNAcentral.
AGGACGAACGCUGGCGGCGUGCUUAACACAUGCAAGUCGAGCGAGGCCCUUCCUUCGGGAAGGUGCCCUAGCGGCGAACGGGUGAGUAACACGUGGGCAACCUGCCCCUAGCACUGGGAUAACCCCGGGAAACCGGGCUAAUACCGGAUAUGACCUCGAGAGGCAUCUCUCGUGAUGGAAAGGGUUACUGGCUAGGGAUGGGCCCGCGGCCUAUCAGCUUGUUGGUGGGGUAACGCCCACAAGGCGACGACGGGUA